This 409-nucleotide long non-coding RNA is filed under the name Gallus gallus (chicken). RNAcentral describes it as "lncRNA (ENSGALG00010007117.1)". The record is from RNAcentral. Lineage: Eukaryota; Metazoa; Chordata; Aves; Galliformes; Phasianidae.
AUACAUAUUAAGACCUAUUUCUUGUAUUCUGUUUAUAAUUUGAAUUAAUCAGAUAAAACAUAAAGCAUAAAAUUGCUAUGUUGUAUCAUUCAAGCCACUUCGCAAAUUCCCUGAUGAACUUCACUUCCAAAUAUACUUCUAUUAUUCUCUCACUUGAAGGAAGGAAGGAAGGAAGGAAGGAAGGAACGAAGGAAGGAAGGAAGGAAGGAAGGAACGAAGGAAGGAAGGAAGGAAGAGAAAGAAAGGAAGAGAAAGAAAGGAAGAGAAAGAAAGGAAGAGAAAGAAAGGAAGAAAGUGAGGAUCAGCUGCUACAGUGAAAAUACUAGAAAUUCCUCCAUUCAUUGAGAUUACACUUCAUCAGACUCCAAGGAUAUUGAAGAAACCUGACACCACAACAAAAGUCUCUCCC